CAAACGCUGGCGGCGUGCUUCAUACAUGCAAGUCGAGCGAGAAAGCUUCCUUCGGGAAGUGAGUACAGCGGCGCACGGGUGAGUAACACGUGGGUAAUCUGCCUUCGGGUUCGGGAUAACCUCGGGAAACUGGGGCUAAUACCGGAUGAGACCACGAGGUCUUCGGGCCUUGCGGAAAAAGAUGGCCUCUUCAUGAAAGCUAUCGCCUGUUGAUGAGCCCGCGGCCCAUUAGCUUGUUGGUGAGGUAACGGCUCACCAAGGCACCGAUGGGUAGCUGGUCUGAGAGGAUGAUCAGCCACACUGGAACUGAGACACGGUCCAGACUCCUACGGGAGGCAGCAGUAGGGAAUCUUGGGCAAUGGGGGAAACCCUGACCCAGCAACGCCGCGUGAGGGAUGAAGGCCUUCGGGUCGUAAACCUCUGUCGGGAGGGAAGAACCGUCCUGAGUCGAAUAGGCUCGGGGCCUGACGGUACCUCCAAAGGAGGCGCCGGCUAACUCCGUG
RNAcentral lists this ribosomal RNA (503 nucleotides) under uncultured bacterium. RNAcentral describes it as "bacterial SSU rRNA". It matches the Rfam family "Bacterial small subunit ribosomal RNA", at positions 30 to 507 of the family's 1533-position model. The record is from RNAcentral.